Molecule: ribosomal RNA, 253 nt
Filed under: uncultured bacterium
Lineage: Bacteria
Description: partial 16S ribosomal RNA
Rfam family: Bacterial small subunit ribosomal RNA
Source: RNAcentral
UACGGAGGGUGCGAGCAUUAAUCGGAUUUAUUGGGCGUAAAGGGCGCGUAGGCGGCAAUGUCAGUCAGAUGUGAAAUCCCGGGGCUCACCCCCGGAACAGCAUUUGAAACUACAUUCCUUGAGGGUAGGCGGAGAAAAUGGAAUUCCACAAGUAGCGGUGAAAUGCGUAGAUAUGUGGAAGAACACCAGUGGCGAAGGCGGUUUUCUAGCUUACUCCUGACGCUGAGGCGCGAAAGCAAGGGGAUCAAACAGG